CUGGCUACUGAUGACCUAAAUAUCUGAAUGAGGAAAUUCAGCAUUAUUAUGUCAGAUGAUGGCAUAAUGGUGUGCACUUUUCUUCUAGUAAGACGUUGCGAUCCAUUAGAAAAUUUAUUUAAAUCUGUAUAUAGGCCCGGGUAGGAGUUUAUGCUAUAAGCGAGUAACAUGACUUUGUUGUUAUGUGAAUGCGUGUAAACUAUCUGGUGUUCUUACAGAUGUCUGAUGGUAUUAUGACUAUAUGUUGCAUACAAUUCCUUGUGAAUUGAUAACUCUCGUGGUUAUAAUGCAUACAUUAUCAGCAACGUUUUAGAUUUAGGAUACCAUCAGGACCCGUCUUGAAACACGGACCAAGAAGUCUAACUUGUAUGCAAGUCAAUGGGAUUAUUAAAACCUAUAGGCGAAAUGAGAUUAACUUGUUAAUGGGAUUACAAAUGGUAUAUUAUCAUUUUUCCAUCCCCGGGUAUCUUAAUGUAAGUACUGCAAUCUCGGUUGUGUGUACUACAAAGAUAUACCGUGAGCAUACAAGCUGUGACCCGAAAGAUGGUGAACUAUGCCUGAUCAGGUUGAAGUCAGGGGAAACCCUGAUGGAAGACCGUAGCAAUUCUGACGUGCAAAUCGAUUGUCAGAGUUGGGUAUAGGGGCGAAAGACCAAUCGAACCAUCUAGUAGUUUUUCCUCUCUCCGAAA
RNAcentral lists this ribosomal RNA (689 nucleotides) under Culicoides tropicalis. RNAcentral's name for it is "eukaryotic LSU rRNA". It matches the Rfam family "Eukaryotic large subunit ribosomal RNA", at positions 386 to 966 of the family's 3401-position model. The record is from RNAcentral. Lineage: Eukaryota; Metazoa; Arthropoda; Insecta; Diptera; Ceratopogonidae.